This is an RNA transcript of Carica papaya (papaya), 860 nucleotides long. It is a transcript of the gene named Acyl-CoA N-acyltransferases (NAT) superfamily protein, with no coding region annotated. The record is from RefSeq and is a predicted model, not a curated record. NCBI's taxonomy places the organism in Eukaryota, Viridiplantae, Streptophyta, Magnoliopsida, Brassicales, Caricaceae.
AAUUUCCACUGCCUGGAAAGCAAGAGGCAACGGAGAAAGAGAUGGCAGCGACGAGCUCAGCAGAGGCACCGAAGAUUGUGUGGAACGAGCGGCAGAAGAGGUUCGAGACGGAAGACAAACAAGCCUACUUACAGUACGUGCCAAGAUCGAAUGGGAAAGUGAUGGACAUAGUGCACACCUAUGUUCCAUCCUCCAAGCGAGGCAUGGGCUUGGCUUCUCAUCUCUGCAUCGCAGCCUUCAAUCACGCCAAAUCUCGCUCCAUCUCCGUCAUUCCCACAUGCACUUAUGUCUCCGAUACAUUUCUUCCUCGAAACCCGUCGUGGAAUUCUCUUGUUUAUUCAGAAGAUCUAAAAUCUAAUAUCUAAACAGUUUCAGCAGUCAACAUAAUGAAGGCUGUCACUUACCUCUUCAGUUGCUUUCAUUAACUGAUUAGAGGACUCAAUUCCUAAAGCAUGCACCUCAAUUGUCUCUAGAAUGAAAAUUUGGAGGCAGAUCUUUGGAGCUUAGGCAGCUUGAUGCGACUGGAAGAAAAAGGAUGUGUUUCCAGAGGGUACAGAGGCAUAAUGGCUAGUAGAGGAUGAUGCUGGUGGUGAACAGGGUCUCGGUAUUAUAUAUUUUCUCUUAAUGAAUCUGCACAUUGUUUUUUGUUUUCACUUUGAAAAGGAAGUUUGUUGGUUUUCACAAAUGUGAUGGAUGUGGGGAAUUUUAAAUUAGGUUUCAUGAAUUUGCUAAAGAACAUGGCUUAGCAUGGAGGGUUUCAUGUUCAUACUCGCCUAUUUCUAUGGCGCGAACUAUACUGAUUUAUACUUCUCCUAUUUUUACCGUGGAAGCUCUUCAGACAACCAUUCAUUUUCUCAAAA